CGGCUGCCUCGUCGGCGUCGUAUGUUACACCUGCAAGAGAGUAGGACCACAUAUAGCUGACCAUGGCUGAAGACUGGUUUAGGCAAGUAUAGAGCAACGUUUGAUAAAGUCUGGCCUUGGCUUUUAUUCACUGUCAUCGCAUAGCAAACCCGGAUUGGGAACUGGCGACGUUUCAAGGUGAAAGAGUGGUUGGAUUCUAGUGGUGACAGGAUGAUCCGUGGCAGCAGGAUAGGAUCUGUCUUCUUUGUAGCAGUUACGCAGGAGCAUGACCGGGACACCCACUUUCAGCCGGAGUUUGUGAGCUGGUAGGCCUGGGAACUCCAAGGAGUUCAGAUAUUCCAAUGGGUAGGACAUUUUGAACUCCUCUGAAUGCUGUUCAUCCUCUGCAAAGGUGU
Molecule: long non-coding RNA, 395 nt
Organism: Brassica oleracea var. oleracea
Lineage: Eukaryota; Viridiplantae; Streptophyta; Magnoliopsida; Brassicales; Brassicaceae
Exons: 3
Source: RefSeq, a predicted model, not a curated record